RNAcentral lists this ribosomal RNA (440 nucleotides) under uncultured bacterium. RNAcentral describes it as "partial 16S ribosomal RNA". It matches the Rfam family "Bacterial small subunit ribosomal RNA", at positions 338 to 795 of the family's 1533-position model. The record is from RNAcentral.
CCUACGGGAGGCAGCAGUAGGGAAUAUUGCGCAAUGGGGGAAACCCUGAAGCAGCAACGCCGCGUGGAUGAUGAAGGUUUUAGGAUUGUAAACUCCUUUUGUUAGAGAAGAUUAUGACGGUAUCUAACGAAUAAGCACCGGCUAACUCCGUGCCAGCAGCCGCGGUAAUACGGAGGGUGCAAGCGUUACUCGGAAUCACUGGGCGUAAAGAGUGCGUAGGCGGGGUAAUAAGUCGGAUGUGAAAGCCUGUAGCUUAACUACAGAACUGCAUUUGAAACUGUUACUCUGGAGUGCGGGAGAGGUAGGUGGAAUUCUUGGUGUAGCGGUGAAAUCCGUAGAGAUCAGGAGGAAUACUAGUUGCGAAGGCGACUUGCUGGAACAUAACUGACGCUGAUGCGCGAAAGCGUGGGGAGCAAACAGGAUUAGAUACCCGUGUAGUC